RNAcentral lists this small nuclear RNA (300 nucleotides) under Vulpes vulpes (red fox). RNAcentral describes it as "7SK RNA (ENSVVUG00000012976.1)". It matches the Rfam family "7SK RNA". Rfam says of the family: 7SK was discovered as an abundant small nuclear RNA in the mid-70s but a possible function has only recently been suggested. Two independent studies have found that 7SK RNA binds the CDK9/cyclin T complex (known as elongation factor P-TEFb). P-TEFb activates transcription by phosphorylating the C-terminal domain of RNA polymerase II. The record is from RNAcentral. Lineage: Eukaryota; Metazoa; Chordata; Mammalia; Carnivora; Canidae.
GGAAGAGAGAUCCCCACAUCUACCACCUCAAUGAUUGCCAACGUUAAUUCAGAUAAUCUAGCUAGCUAGGGGCGUGUCCUCUUCCUCUUUCACUACUUCGUGUGUGUCCCUCUCAAAGCUGUGUCAAUUGAAGAGGAUGAACUUCCCCAAUACAGGAUGACCAUUCUUCAGUCAAGUCACUGCAUUCCCCUAGUGGAAUCUCUGAAGAAGAUCUCAAGUCCAUUUGCAAAAGAGCAUAAAUAAGUUAGUGAAGUUUCCAAGACUCCAAAUGAGGUACUGCAUAGGUAGCAGUCUGCCUUU